RNAcentral lists this long non-coding RNA (419 nucleotides) under Drosophila guanche. Lineage: Eukaryota; Metazoa; Arthropoda; Insecta; Diptera; Drosophilidae. The record is from RNAcentral.
AUUGUGGCAAGCCUUAUAUAUGUAGGUAUAACCUACACAAAACUUACAUAAUCCCUCGUGGCGAAGUUUUCUUGCAAGCCAUAAAUUCAGAGGAAUCUGUGUUGAUCUGUGCUAGUGCCUAGUGAAAACAAUAAUCAACCAAGGUAUGUCUGCCGUGAGCUAGGAAAGUGACCAGUAUAAUUUAUGCGAAUUAAGUUUAUAGGACAGAGGUCAGGAGCCCUAUCUUUCUUAGCAGCCUAAGUGCGCAUAAGUGCAUAUACGGGGUGCUCCACGAGAAGCGUAUCACCAAAGUGAUCCCCCAAUCUAAAAGAUGUACCCUUCGAACCCCCUCUUCUGACGAAAACGUCGAGCCCAGAAAACCUGUGACUUGGGUCAACAUUAGUGAGGCGUAGCAACCCUUAGGAAGCCCAGCGCGUAAG